AGCAGCCGCGGUAAUUCCAGCUCCAAUAGCGUAUAUUAAAGUUGUUGCAGUUAAAAAGCUCGUAGUUGAAUUUCGGGAUCAAUAUUUCGGUCAUGCCGUUGGUAUGCACUGUUAUCAUUGAUUUCUCACCUUCUAAAGAACCGUAAUGCCAUUAAUUUGGUGUUACGGGGAAUUAGGACUGUUACCUUGAAAAAAUUAGAGUGUUUAAAGCAGGCUCACGCUUGAAUACAUUAGCAUGGAAUAAUGAAAUAGGACAUCCGAUUCUAUUUUGUUGGUUUCUAGGAUCGAUGUAAUGAUUAAUAGGGAUAGUUGGGGGCAUUAGUAUUCAAUUGUCAGAGGUGAAAUUCUUGGAUUUAUUGAAGCCUAACUACUGCGAAAGCAUUUGCCAAGGAUGUUUUCAUUAAUCAAGAACGAAAGUUAGGGGAUCGAAGACGAUCAGAUACCGUCGUAGUCUUAACCAUAAACUAUGCCGACUAGGGAUCGGAUGAUGUUAAUUUUUUAAUGACUC
RNAcentral lists this ribosomal RNA (508 nucleotides) under uncultured Glomeromycotina. RNAcentral describes it as "SSU rRNA". It matches the Rfam family "Eukaryotic small subunit ribosomal RNA", at positions 569 to 1077 of the family's 1831-position model. Lineage: Eukaryota; Fungi; Glomeromycota. The record is from RNAcentral.